AACGAACGCUGGCGGCAUGCCUAACACAUGCAAGUCGAACGAGAUCUUCGGGUCUAGUGGCGCACGGGUGCGUAACGCGUGGGAAUCUGCCCUUUGGUUCGGAAUAACAGUUGGAAACGACUGCUAAUACCGGAUGGUGACGAAAGUCCAAAGAUUUAUCGCCAGAGGAUGAGCCCGCGUAGGAUUAGCUAGUUGGUGGGGUAAAGGCGCACCAAGGCGACGAUGCUUAGCUGGUCGGAGAGGAUGAUCAGCCAGACUGGGACUGAGACACGGCACAGGAUCCUACGGGAGGCAGCAGUGGGGAAUAUUGGACAGUGGGCGAAAGCCUGAUCCAGCAAUGCCGCGUGAGUGAUGAAGGCCUUAGGGUUGUAAAGCUCUUUUACCCGGGAUGAUAAUGACCGUACCGGGAGAAUAAGCUCCGGCUAACUCCGUGCCAGCCGCCGCCGUAA
This 449-nucleotide ribosomal RNA is filed under the name uncultured bacterium. RNAcentral describes it as "partial 16S ribosomal RNA". It matches the Rfam family "Bacterial small subunit ribosomal RNA", at positions 29 to 523 of the family's 1533-position model. The record is from RNAcentral.